AUGUUGGAGCUCAGCAAGCAGUAUGCUAGAGAUUGCAAAGCAAUUAGGGCAGGUCCAAACUUGUGGCAGGUCUCCAGUGGCCCACAGACAUAUGCUGUCAACCUUCUUGACCCCACUUGUGGAUGCAGGAAGUGGGACAUGUCAGGGUGUCCAUGUAACCAUGCUUACAGUGCUAUUUCCAAAGGCAAGAUUCAACCUGAGGAUUUUGUUAGUCCAUUCUUCAAGAAAGCAAUGUACCUAGAAUUAUAUAAACCUAUAGUGUAUCCAGUUCCAGGAGAAGAUGCUUGGGUCAAGACAGAGCAACAUGAUAUUGAUCCUCCUGUUUUCCACAAAGAGGACCAGAGUGGAAGAAAAGAAGAAAAAAGAAAGAAGGGCAGGUUUGAAGUGCCAAAACCAAAAGAUACUUCUAGGAUGGCUACAAUCAAAUGUGGCAACUGCAAGUUAAUGGGUCAUAGGUUCACUAACUGUUCACAAUCUUUGAGGCCUGACCUUCAGUUAAGAAAGAAUAGAAUCAUGAGAAGGCAGAAGGCAGAAGCCUACAUUCCACCUGAAGAAGCACCAAGGGCACCAACUGGAGAAGCACCAAGGGCUUCACCUAGGGUUGCUUUCACAGCACCAAGGCCAGCAACAAGGGCUACAACUGCUAGUUCAUCUGCUGGUACUUCAUCUACAUCUACUUCUGCUUUUGCCACAAAGAUGAGAUCAGUGAUAGGUGGAAGAGUUCAAGGAGUUUCAACAGCUGGAACAGGUAGAAAGAAGAAAGCUCAGAAAUAUGCAAGACUGAAGAGCUACUUCACUGCCAGUGGAAAUGUUUGA
Molecule: ribosomal RNA, 816 nt
Filed under: Triticum aestivum (bread wheat)
Lineage: Eukaryota; Viridiplantae; Streptophyta; Magnoliopsida; Poales; Poaceae
Description: partial small subunit ribosomal RNA
Source: RNAcentral